UACGUAGGGGGCAAGCGUUAUCCGGAUUUACUGGGUGUAAAGGGAGCGUAGACGGCAAUGCAAGUCUGGAGUGAAAGGCGGGGGCCCAACCCCCGGACUGCUCUGGAAACUGUAUAGCUGGAGUGCAGGAGAGGUAAGUGGAAUUCCUAGUGUAGCGGUGAAAUGCGUAGAUAUAUGGAGGAACACCGGUGGCGAAAGCGGCUCUCUGGCCUGUAACUGACACUGAGGCUCGAAAGCGUGGGGAGCAAACAGG
This 253-nucleotide ribosomal RNA is filed under the name uncultured bacterium. Its description in RNAcentral is "partial 16S ribosomal RNA". It matches the Rfam family "Bacterial small subunit ribosomal RNA", at positions 524 to 776 of the family's 1533-position model. The record is from RNAcentral.